AUACGGAGGGUGCAAGCGUUGUUCGGAAUUACUGGGCGUAAAGCGCGUGCAGGCGGUAAGGUAAGUCAGAUAUGAAAGCCCCGGGCUCAACCCGGGAAGUGCAUUUGAUACUGCCUUUCUUGAGUAUGGGAGAGGAGAGUGGAAUUCCCAGUGUAGAGGUGAAAUUCGUAGAUAUUGGGAGGAACACCCGUGGCGAAGGCGACUCUCUGGACCAAUACUGACGCUGAGACGCGAAAGCGUGGGGAGCGAACAGGAUUAGAUACCCUGGUAGUCC
This 274-nucleotide ribosomal RNA is filed under the name uncultured bacterium. RNAcentral describes it as "partial 16S ribosomal RNA". It matches the Rfam family "Bacterial small subunit ribosomal RNA", at positions 523 to 796 of the family's 1533-position model. The record is from RNAcentral.